This 1580-nucleotide long non-coding RNA is filed under the name Homo sapiens (human). RNAcentral's name for it is "non-protein coding lnc-RC3H1-1:6". The record is from RNAcentral. Lineage: Eukaryota; Metazoa; Chordata; Mammalia; Primates; Hominidae.
AGAGGUCAAGGCUGCAGUGAGCCGUGAUCAUGCCUCUGCACUCCAGCCUGGACGAUAGAGCAAGACUUUAUCUCAAAAAACAAAAAUUUAAAAAGAUAUCAGGUAGCUCAUAGAAUUGUUGAGAGGGCUGUAAAACCAGGCUUGAACUUAAACAGCAACGAUAAACCACCCACAGAACGGACAUGAUGAAGAAGUUGGCAAAUGUUACCAACUGUCCUGGUUUUUUUGGUGACUGUAGUUUCCAAGGAUUCAGAUCCUUCCAUGCCAAAAUCUGAAAAAUGCUGGGCAAAGUAUGACUGACAAUGUGGUAAUCUUACAGCUAGCACUAGAGACAUCAAGCACUAGACAACACAAUUUGCCCUUUGGCCACUUAUACAAUGGGAACUCACGCUUGCAGUAACCUCUAUUGCCACUAGGAGAGAGAAACACAGAAGGAGGAAGGGAGAAGGGAGAGAGAGGAAAAAAACUGUUGCUUGUCUCCUUAGCUGUGAGUCAAAGGUCUAACACAGAUGUCUGGCUGAAAAGCCUAGGUCACAUGCCUGCACCCCAGAGAAAGUAUGUGACAUCUUCUGCUUCCAUUAUGGGAAACAGCCUUUGCUUGUCACGAAGAUUUACAUGGUGAGACAUAUCCUAAAUAUAGGGAAGCUGUUGAAGUGGCCCAAAUAAUGACCAAUUUCUACUAAUUUGUACUAAUAUCCAAAUUACUUUUAAUUAUCUAAUAUUACUUAGAUACAGUGAGGCAACCAUUCGUUGGAUAUAUAAUGGUUUCUUUGAUUUCAAAAAUCUUUUUUUAUGUAAUAUAUGUCUGAAGACCAUCAAAAUAAAUUCUUAAAGUCAGAUUAAUAGGAUGUUACUUAUAAUAUUAUUGUAAUUAUUUGACCACAUAAUAGUUUAUGCCCAUUAUAUACUAUGUAAUUGUAUGAUGGAAAUAAUGCUGUACUUUGUUUGUAAAAGUUUAAUUAUCCUGACCUUUGUUCAUCAUAAAGAAUUGCUCCAUUUCUAUUAUUUAUCGAGGAAAAAAGUUUCUCUCUUUUUGUUUUUAAUAUGUCAUUAGGAGAAGAGUAGUUACACGUAGGCUAGAGUGUUUGCCAAGAAGAAAUUGAUUUUAAUGGGAACCUUUUAUCUAAGACAAACUUUAAGAAGAGCAGUAAUGGACAAUGUGUUCUGUGCAACUCUUCAGCCUUCAGUCUCACAUUCAUUGUGGUCAAGUAUUUUCAGCAAAGAAUAACAAGUCAGAGUUUGUGUAUAUUUUUCAUAGCUGUUCAUUCUCUUACAGAGUAACCUUGAACAAACCUCUUAAGAUUUGUGUUUUAUCUUCAUAUACUGAAAUACAAAAUGGGAAUGCCUAUAUUUAAUCAAAGAUAUAAUUUUUACUGAUAGAUAGUAAAGAACAAAACACUGGAACAAGAAUUCCUGUCCUGCCUUUCACAAUGUGGUUUUGAGGCCUUGGCCAUGUCACUUAAAUUCUCAUAUCUGUUUUCUCAAUCUAUAAAUGAUCAUAAUACCUGCACUAUCUGUCUCAAAUUGCAUAUGUGAAAGCAUCUUAAAGGUACAAAACAAUAAAUACAAAGCAUUAUUAU